CCUACGGGUGGCAGCAGUGGGGAAUAUUGGGCAAUGGGCGAAAGCCUGACCCAGCAACGCCGCGUGAAGGAAGAAGGCUUUCGGGUUGUAAACUUCUUUUGUCAGGGACGAAGCAAGUGACGGUACCUGACGAAUAAGCCACGGCUAACUACGUGCCAGCAGCCGCGGGAAUACGUAGGUGGCAAGCGUUAUCCGGAUUUACUGGGUGUAAAGGGCGUGUAGGCGGGACUGCAAGUCAGAUGUGAAAACUCAGGGCUCAACCCUGAGCCUGCAUUUGAAACUGUAGUUCUUGAGUACUGUAGAGGCAGACGGAAUUCCUAGUGUAGCGGUGAAAUGCGUAGAUAUUAGGAGGAACACCAGUGGCGAAGGCGGUCUGCUGGACAGCAACUGACGUUGAGGCUCGAAAGCGUGGGGAGCAAACAGGAUUAGAUACCCUGGUAGUC
This 443-nucleotide ribosomal RNA is filed under the name uncultured bacterium. RNAcentral's name for it is "partial 16S ribosomal RNA". It matches the Rfam family "Bacterial small subunit ribosomal RNA", at positions 338 to 795 of the family's 1533-position model. The record is from RNAcentral.